UGCUGGCUAGAAUCCGGACCCGGGUAAAGCAGGUCGUCCACCGGAGCGACAGCUGCCACUUGGCAGUGCUGGCAUGCACUGCAGGGUCCUCCCCUGGCCUCCUGCUGCAAUGGCGGUGAAGCAAGCCUGGGCCAGCGUAACCCCCCGCACGGCUGUCCUUUAGGCCAGGAUACACGGGCGGGUUUGUCUCUGUUUGUUUUUAAAAGGAGUCCAUCUCUAUGCCUCUGGUGCUUCUUUGGCUUCUCUGCCAUGGAUUUCUCUUUCCAGGAGAGCUCUCGGGCCGCAUUUCUCACCACUCUCUUAAGACUUUAGAGAUGUGAACUGGCGGCAACUGGUGCCGUUCUCAGUUCUCAGUGUUUGGUACCCAGCCAGGCUCCUGACUCCUGGGAACAGCCUUAUUUAGCGCUAGGAGAUUUGGGUCAGAGGCUCCCGAGAAGCCGGUGCAGGGAGAGACAGGAACAAUCACCGCCCAGUCACAGCUGGCAGCCAAAAGGACCGAAGGGGAAGACUCAGCCGACAGAGGAGAGUCCCUUCAAGCAGCCUUGGACCAGCUUUCCGAGGAGGCUGUUUUCUUCCCCAACUGCUCUGCAUCUGCCUGGGUGGCAGCCAGAGGCUGGGAACAGCAUGGCUGAGCUCAUGCUCCGAAGGAAGCAAGCUAUUCUGUUGUGAUUAACGCUGCGGAGAGAACCACAUGACAGAGGAUUAAUGUGUCUGACCAGUAGCCAGCUGGGACCUGAGGCUGCCUGAUUUCCCAACAGGAGUGAGCUCGAGAGUGAAAUGCCCACAGUGGAGCCGCCUCCACUGCUGACACUGCAGCCUGUUGAGAAGACCCGGUGUCAGAGUUUCCCAGCUAGGCCAUGCCCAGGCUCCUAGCCCAGAGAAAUGGUGAGAUAAUAAAUGUUUGUUGUUUUAAA
Long non-coding RNA from Myotis brandtii (Brandt's bat), 914 nucleotides. RefSeq lists it as uncharacterized. The record is from RefSeq and is a predicted model, not a curated record. NCBI's taxonomy places the organism in Eukaryota, Metazoa, Chordata, Mammalia, Chiroptera, Vespertilionidae. The transcript has 2 exons.